Molecule: long non-coding RNA, 663 nt
Filed under: Bos taurus (domestic cattle)
Lineage: Eukaryota; Metazoa; Chordata; Mammalia; Artiodactyla; Bovidae
Description: long non-coding RNA NONBTAT001566
Source: RNAcentral
GGAUGAUACAAGAUAAUAAAAUCAUAAGGUGAUAACUAAACAAUUUGAAAACACUUUCUUUAGAAAAAAAAAUCUUCCUUGUAGUUAAAAAAAAAAACAAAAAAAGACUAGGCAAAAUGCAGCCCACCCCCUUCCAAAGUGAAGACGCACACAAUGGUUACUCUCAGCACACUGACCCUGGACAGCUUUCCAGCUGGUGGCAAAGAGGGGCUCCCUGGAGAUUCUGGCCAGCAGAGGUCCAAGCACCGAUGCUCAAAACCAAGGAGGUCACACCGCUGGCUUCCUCGCCACCACUCUCUGACAAGAAAAUUGUACACAGGCGCCAUCCACUAACCCGAAUUCACUUUUAAUAAAAGCAGCUGAAUUUGCCAAAUGAAUGCAUUCAUCACUGUCAGAACAGACUUAAACACUGGCAAGAACUGUAAAUCAUCAAGACAUGCAAAAGAGCACUUACCCAAAACAAACAACUUAACAUCCAGUGACAGGCGCUAAAUAACACCAAUUCAUAGAGAUCGGAUGAUCCUGUCUGUAUCUCAUACCUAGUCACACACGAGUUUGCUGUCACGGAUUCAAGCACUAAAGGCAGACGCUCUCAAACCUGAACAGCUUUGCUAACGACAAUCACAGAGGUAUCCAGGAGGAGCAGAACCACACUGCUCCCCA